ACGUGAAGGGUGCGGAAAUAAACGAGACCGGCACACUCCUGCGAACGUUCACUCUCCCGCUACAAGACAAAAAGGUAACUCAUCCCUUCGUCGAGCCUAAUCACAAUCACGCAGGUCUCCAGCUCCUGCUUCUUUCCAUCCAAAGAUCCGAAAGGACGGCUCGCUGCCUAUCUAUCGUCGCCGAUGGCAUCCGACUUCCAAACCAUCCCGGUGAUAGGUAUGGACAGAUCCCUUCCCUUCCCUCUCUAAAUUGAUUCCGACUCACUUCCACUCUGUGCCAUCAAAUUUAGAAUUUUGAUUUCCCAAUAACCUUUGAUCGAGGCUUUUGAGUGUUAGCUCCAAUAAUGAUUAAACUGAACUUCGGUUGGAUUUUCUUGAAUUCAAGGCAGUGGAUGUGUGGCAGAAUUUUAACUUGGUAUAGGAAAAUUAGAACGGAAGAACAAAAACCUUAUUCAUUUGUUUAUUUAUUUAUUUUGUGCCAAGGGUUUUGCUUCAGCAAAUAUCUUGCAUCAUAUUAUAUAUUUUUGAGGUUUGAUUGCAUGGAGGCCUAGGUCUUCUAUCGAGAAAAGAAAAGGAAUAAAUUUGAGAAAACAUACGGCGUUCUGAAAUUUUUCUAAUAUUUUAUUAUUAUCAUCUUGAAGAUUCUUC
RNAcentral lists this long non-coding RNA (648 nucleotides) under Elaeis guineensis (African oil palm). RNAcentral's name for it is "long non-coding RNA (EGUI_LNC075026)". Lineage: Eukaryota; Viridiplantae; Streptophyta; Magnoliopsida; Arecales; Arecaceae. The record is from RNAcentral.